CCGUGAUCUUUUGGCAGAGGGGAUCACGUAAAUGUGUUGAUUAUUUGGUUGAAGCGUUUGUGCAGAAGCUGAGCCAAUUAGUGCUACUUUAGCUGCUGUAAAAGCCACUCAAGAUAAUGUUACAUUGAUCACCUCUUCUUGGACGGUUACGUCGAUGGAGG
This is a long non-coding RNA of Lolium rigidum, 161 nucleotides long. RefSeq lists it as uncharacterized. The transcript is spliced from 3 exons. The record is from RefSeq and is a predicted model, not a curated record. NCBI's taxonomy places the organism in Eukaryota, Viridiplantae, Streptophyta, Magnoliopsida, Poales, Poaceae.